This is a non-coding RNA of Parelaphostrongylus tenuis, 72 nucleotides long. The record is from the annotation of a GenBank genome assembly. Lineage: Eukaryota; Metazoa; Nematoda; Chromadorea; Rhabditida; Metastrongylidae.
GCCUCGGUGGUGUAGUGAUAGAGCCCGCGUCCCAAAUAAGAUGAAACGCGGGUUCGACUCCCGCCUGAGGCC